GAUGGAAGAACGUAGCGAAAUGCGAAAAGUAAUGUGAAUUGCAGAAUUCAGUGAAUCAUCGAAUCUUUGAACGCACAUUGCGCCCGCCAGUAUUCUGGCGGGCAUGCCUGUCUGAGCGUCAUUUCAACCCUCACGCCCCUAGGGCGUGGUGUUGGGGAUCGGCCAAGGCCCGCAAGGGACGGCCGGCCCCUAAAUCUAGUGGCGGACCCAUCGUGGCCUCCCCUGCGAAGUAGUAAUAUAUUCCGCAUCGGAUAGCGAUGAGCCCCUGCCGUUAAACCCCCAACUCUUUCAAGGUUGACCUCAGAUCAGGUAGGAAUACCCGCUGAACUUAAGCAUAUCAAUAAGCGGAGGA
RNAcentral lists this unclassified non-coding RNA (352 nucleotides) under soil metagenome. Its description in RNAcentral is "partial contains 5.8S ribosomal RNA, internal transcribed spacer 2, and large subunit ribosomal RNA". The stretch from base 5 to 121 matches the Rfam family "5.8S ribosomal RNA", at positions 38 to 154 of the family's 154-position model. The record is from RNAcentral.